GACGAACGCUGGCGGCGUGCCUAAUACAUGCAAGUAGAACGCUGAAGAGAGGAGCUUGCUCUUCUUGGAAGAGUUGCGAACGGGUGAGUAACGCGUAGGUAACCUGCCUUGUAGCGGGGGAUAACUAUUGGAAACGAUAGCUAAUACCGCAUAACAAUGGGUGACCCAUGUCAUUCAUUUGAAAGGGGCAACUGCUCCACUACAAGAUGGACCUGCGUUGUAUUAGCUAGUAGGUGAGGUAACGGCUCACCUAGGCGACGAUACAUAGCCGACCUGAGAGGGUGAUCGGCCACACUGGGACUGAGACACGGCCCAGACUCCUACGGGAGGCAGCAGUAGGGAAUCUUCGGCAAUGGGGGCAACCCUGACCGAGCAACGCCGCGUGAGUGAAGAAGGUUUUCGGAUCGUAAAGCUCUGUUGUAAGUCAAGAACGAGUGUGAGAGUGGAAAGUUCACACUGUGACGGUAGCUUACCAGAAAGGGACGGCUAACUACGUGCCAGCAGCCGCGGUAAUACGUAGGUCCCGAGCGUUGUCCGGAUUUAUUGGGCGUAAAGCGAGCGCAGGCGGUUUGAUAAGUCUGAAGUUAAAGGCUGUGGCUCAACCAUAGUUCGCUUUGGAAACUGUCAAGCUUGGGUGCAGAAGGGGAGAGUGGAAUUCCAUGUGUAGCGGUGAAAUGCGUAGAUAUAUGGAGGAACACCGGUGGCGAAAGCGGCUCUCUGGUCUGUAACUGACGCUGAGGCUCGAAAGCGUGGGGAGCGAACAGG
This 765-nucleotide ribosomal RNA is filed under the name uncultured Streptococcus sp. RNAcentral's name for it is "bacterial SSU rRNA". It matches the Rfam family "Bacterial small subunit ribosomal RNA", at positions 28 to 776 of the family's 1533-position model. The record is from RNAcentral. Lineage: Bacteria; Bacillati; Bacillota; Bacilli; Lactobacillales; Streptococcaceae.